ACUACUGACGGCCCAUUUCAGUAUUAGCGCGUUUCCGUAUUAGGUCUGCUGAUUCGGAGGAAUCACGCGGAAGUAGUAAAUUAGACGCAUCAAGUAGUGCAAAUCACCAACCAAAACAGUGACAUUUUGGAAAACUAAUGAAAGUAAAGUGUAUUUUAUUUUAAACAAGAGGACAUGUGCCAGUUCCAUUCCGAUUGUUAGGUUAUUCCGUAGAGGUAGCCUAUAGUCGCUGAAUUGUCAUCAUCAGAUAGAGUUAUGGCAUGCAGCGACUCAAUGGUGUCAAUGAAUGGAACUCAAGUUUCCUAUAUUGGACAUGACUGUGAGGACAUCCCAGAGUACCUUGGAGAAAGAUAUGGACUCUUGACAAGACGGCUAGAUCUCAGCUUCAAUCAGCUAAGCAGAGAAUCCCCUCCUGGAUCAAGAUCCUUGCUGUCGAAUAUUUGUUUUGUAUGUGCAACAAACUGUGCAGUAUGUUCAUUUAACUCUUUAAUGGAAUAAUAUCUGCCAUGAUUCAUAAAAACACCUAGUUAGUAACCAUUACACAGUGGAGAAAAAGCAGCUGCGUAGGCCUCUGGGUGCUUCCCAAAUGGCACCCUAUUCCCUGUCGAGUGCAUGAAGGUAGUGCACUAAAUAGGGCAUAUGUGGUGCCAUUUGGGAUUCAGCCUGUGUGUGUGAACCAUCUGGUAGCUGGUUGUUGACCAGGCAAGCGUCAGAGUGUGUGUAUUAAUUGUGUGUGUGUGUGUGUGUGUAUUAAUCAUGCUUACACAAUGUCUUAAUUACUCCCAGUGUAACUGCUCCCUCUCCAACCCAGGAGUUGACCUUUCUCUGCCUGGUACUCCAGCCCAUUAAUCAUCCACAAUCAACACUCACCCAGCGCCACACUCACAGUCAGAGGACAGGGGAGAGGGACAAUCACACCUGCCCACUACACAGUACCCCCUAGUACACACUAACACAGGCAUGGACACGGACACUGAUGCACACACACACUACUCUCUGUGUGUCUCAGUACAAAAUACAAUAUCCUAUAAUAUAUUUCUCUUGGUGAUUAAUUGUGUCAUUCUUCAACAUUUCAUAUCUUGGACUCAAUCCUCUAUCAUUUGGCGCUUCUCUAAUAUCUAAUAUCCCACAGGGAGGGAACCAGACAAUAUACCCAUCAGCCCCAACAAAUGGUCCUUCACUUCUAAAUAUGAUACUCUGACAUUCAUAGCAGGCAGACACUCAUUUCUUCC
Molecule: long non-coding RNA, 1232 nt
Filed under: Oncorhynchus kisutch (coho salmon)
Lineage: Eukaryota; Metazoa; Chordata; Actinopteri; Salmoniformes; Salmonidae
Description: lncRNA (ENSOKIG00005016926.1)
Source: RNAcentral